UACGUAGGGUGCAAGCGUUGUCCGGAAUUAUUGGGCGUAAAGAGCUCGUAGGCGGUUUGUCGCGUCUGCUGUGAAAUCUGGAGGCUCAACCUCCAGCCUGCAGUGGGUACGGGCAGACUAGAGUGCGGUAGGGGAGAUUGGAACUCCUGGUGUAGCGGUGGAAUGCGCAGAUAUCAGGAAGAACACCGGUGGCGAAGGCGGGUCUCUGGGCCGAUAUUGACGCUGAGGAGCGAAAGCGUGGGGAGCGAACAGG
RNAcentral lists this ribosomal RNA (253 nucleotides) under uncultured bacterium. RNAcentral describes it as "partial 16S ribosomal RNA". It matches the Rfam family "Bacterial small subunit ribosomal RNA", at positions 524 to 776 of the family's 1533-position model. The record is from RNAcentral.